RNAcentral lists this ribosomal RNA (483 nucleotides) under uncultured bacterium. Its description in RNAcentral is "partial 16S ribosomal RNA". It matches the Rfam family "Bacterial small subunit ribosomal RNA", at positions 28 to 507 of the family's 1533-position model. The record is from RNAcentral.
GACGAACGCUGGCGGCGUGCUUAACACAUGCAAGUCGAACGCUGAAGCUCAGCUUUUGUUGAGUGGAUGAGUGGCGAACGGGUGAGUAACACGUGAGUAACCUGCCUCCUUCUUUGGGAUAACGCCCGGAAACGGGUGCUAAUACUGGAUAUUCACUGGUCUUCGCAUGGGGGUUGGUGGAAAGGGUUUUUCUGGUGGGGGAUGGGCUCGCGGCCUAUCAGCUUGUUGGUGGGGUGAUGGCCUACCAAGGCUUUGACGGGUAGCCGGCCUGAGAGGGUGACCGGUCACAGUGGGACUGAGAUACGGCCCAGACUCCUACGGGAGGCAGCAGGGGGGAAUAUUGAACAAUGGGCGCAAGCCUGAUGCAGCGACGCCGCGUGAGGGAUGGAGGCCUUCGGGUUGUGAACCUCUUUCGCUCAUGGUCAAGCCGCAACAAUGGUUGUGGUGAGGGUAGUGGGUAAAGAAGCGCCGGCUAACUACGUG